Molecule: ribosomal RNA, 465 nt
Filed under: Vreelandella stevensii
Lineage: Bacteria; Pseudomonadati; Pseudomonadota; Gammaproteobacteria; Oceanospirillales; Halomonadaceae
Description: partial 16S ribosomal RNA
Rfam family: Bacterial small subunit ribosomal RNA
Source: RNAcentral
CCUACGGGAGGCAGCAGUGGGGAAUAUUGGACAAUGGGGGGAACCCUGAUCCAGCCAUGCCGCGUGUGUGAAGAAGGCCCUCGGGUUGUAAAGCACUUUCAGUGAGGAAGAACGCCUGGUGGUUAAUACCCAUCAGCAAAGACAUCACUCACAGAAGAAGCACCGGCUAACUCCGUGCCAGCAGCCGCGGUAAUACGGAGGGUGCGAGCGUUAAUCGGAAUUACUGGGCGUAAAGCGCGCGUAGGUGGCUUGAUAAGCCGGUUGUGAAAGCCCCGGGCUCAACCUGGGAACGGCAUCCGGAACUGUCAAGCUAGAGUGCAGGAGAGGAAGGUAGAAUUCCCGGUGUAGCGGUGAAAUGCGUAGAGAUCGGGAGGAAUACCAGUGGCGAAGGCGGCCUUCUGGACUGACACUGACACUGAGGUGCGAAAGCGUGGGUAGCAAACAGGAUUAGAUACCCGGGUAGUC